RNAcentral lists this transfer RNA (74 nucleotides) under Caudoviricetes sp. RNAcentral's name for it is "tRNA-Asn". It matches the Rfam family "tRNA". From Rfam's summary of the family: Transfer RNA (tRNA) molecules are approximately 80 nucleotides in length. Their secondary structure includes four short double-helical elements and three loops (D, anti-codon, and T loops). The record is from RNAcentral. Lineage: Duplodnaviria; Heunggongvirae; Uroviricota; Caudoviricetes.
GCUCUUUUAGCUCAGUCGGUUAGAGCAGUGGACUGUUAAUCCACGUGUCAUUUGUUCGAAUCAAAUAAAGAGCG